Molecule: ribosomal RNA, 500 nt
Filed under: uncultured bacterium
Lineage: Bacteria
Description: bacterial SSU rRNA
Rfam family: Bacterial small subunit ribosomal RNA
Source: RNAcentral
GGCGGACGGGUUAGUAACGCGUGGGAACGUACCCUUUUCUACGGAAUAGCCUCGGGAAACUGAGAGUAAUACCGUAUAAGCCCUUCGGGGGAAAGAUUUAUCGGGAAAGGAUCGGCCCGCGUUAGAUUAGAUAGUUGGUGGGGUAAUGGCCUACCAAGUCUACGAUCUAUAGCUGGUUUUAGAGGAUGAUCAGCAACACUGGGACUGAGACACGGCCCAGACUCCUACGGGAGGCAGCAGUGGGGAAUCUUAGACAAUGGGCGCAAGCCUGAUCUAGCCAUGCCGCGUGUGUGAUGAAGGUCUUAGGAUCGUAAAGCACUUUCGCCAGGGAUGAUAAUGACAGUACCUGGUAAAGAAACCCCGGCUAACUCCGUGCCAGCAGCCGCGGUAAUACGGAGGGGGUUAGCGUUGUUCGGAAUUACUGGGCGUAAAGCGUACGUAGGCGGAUUGGAAAGUUGGGGGUGAAAUCCCAGGGCUCAACCCUGGAACUGCCUCCAAAA